Molecule: non-coding RNA, 81 nt
Organism: Auriculariales sp. MPI-PUGE-AT-0066
Lineage: Eukaryota; Fungi; Basidiomycota; Agaricomycetes; Auriculariales
Source: the annotation of a GenBank genome assembly
GCCCUCGUGGCCCAGUGGUAAGGCGUCGCUCUUGUACCUGAAUCAAAGCGAAGACCGGGUGUUCAAUCCACUCCGAGGGCA